AAAUUGAAGAGUUUGAUCAUGGCUCAGAUUGAACGCUGGCGGCAGGCCUAACACAUGCAAGUCGAGCGGUAGCACAGAGAGCUUGCUCUCGGGUGACGAGCGGCGGACGGGUGAGUAAUGUCUGGGAAACUGCCUGAUGGAGGGGGAUAACUACUGGAAACGGUAGCUAAUACCGCAUAAUGUCGCAAGACCAAAGUGGGGGACCUUCGGGCCUCAUGCCAUCAGAUGUGCCCAGAUGGGAUUAGCUAGUAGGUGGGGUAACGGCUCACCUAGGCGACGAUCCCUAGCUGGUCUGAGAGGAUGACCAGCCACACUGGAACUGAGACACGGUCCAGACUCCUACGGGAGGCAGCAGUGGGGAAUAUUGCACAAUGGGCGCAAGCCUGAUGCAGCCAUGCCGCGUGUGUGAAGAAGGCCUUCGGGUUGUAAAGCACUUUCAGCGGGGAGGAAGGCGUUAAGGUUAAUAACCUUGGCGAUUGACGUUACCCGCAGAAGAAGCACCGGCUAACUCCGUGCCAGCAGCCGCGGUAAUACGGAGGGUGCAAGCGUUAAUCGGAAUUACUGGGCGUAAAGCGCACGCAGGCGGUCUGUCAAGUCGGAUGUGAAAUCCCCGGGCUCAACCUGGGAACUGCAUUCGAAACUGGCAGGCUAGAGUCUUGUAGAGGGGGGUAGAAUUCCAGGUGUAGCGGUGAAAUGCGUAGAGAUCUGGAGGAAUACCGGUGGCGAAGGCGGCCCCCUGGACAAAGACUGACGCUCAGGUGCGAAAGCGUGGGGAGCAAACAGGAUUAGAUACCCUGGUAGUCCACGCCGUAAACGAUGUCGAUUUGGAGGUUGUGCCCUUGAGGCGUGGCUUCCGGAGCUAACGCGUUAAAUCGACCGCCUGGGGAGUACGGCCGCAAGGUUAAAACUCAAAUGAAUUGACGGGGGCCCGCACAAGCGGUGGAGCAUGUGGUUUAAUUCGAUGCAACGCGAAGAACCUUACCUGGUCUUGACAUCCACAGAACUU
Molecule: ribosomal RNA, 1006 nt
Filed under: Klebsiella pneumoniae
Lineage: Bacteria; Pseudomonadati; Pseudomonadota; Gammaproteobacteria; Enterobacterales; Enterobacteriaceae
Description: bacterial SSU rRNA
Rfam family: Bacterial small subunit ribosomal RNA
Source: RNAcentral